GGAGGGUGCAAGCGUUAUCCGGAUUUACUGGGUUUAAAGGGUGCGUAGGUGGGUCUGUAAGUCAGUGGUGAAAUCUCCGAGCUUAACUCGGAAACUGCCAUUGAUACUAUAGAUCUUGAAUUAUCUGGAGGUAAGCGGAAUAUGUCAUGUAGCGGUGAAAUGCUUAGAUAUGACAUAGAACACCAAUUGCGAAGGCAGCUUACUACGGAUCGAUUGACACUGAGGCACGAAAGCGUGGGGAUCAAACAGGAUUAGAUACCCUGGUAGUCCACGCCCUAAACGAUGGAUACUCGACAUUUGCGAUAUACUGUAAGUGUCUGAGCGAAAGCAUUAAGUAUCCCACCUGGGAAGUACGAUCGCAAGAUUG
Molecule: ribosomal RNA, 367 nt
Filed under: uncultured bacterium
Lineage: Bacteria
Description: bacterial SSU rRNA
Rfam family: Bacterial small subunit ribosomal RNA
Source: RNAcentral